UUCCUGCCCACCACUAAGUCCAUUCCCUUGCAGGCUUGCAGCAAGCUAUUGUGGCGAUAGGUCUGCUCUCUGGCUGUUACGCUUCAUCAUCGUGAAUUGUAAGAUGUCCAGCGAAUCUGAGACAGAUUUUCUGUGGAGCGACGAGGAGCUGGAAAUGUUACAACCUCAAAAAAAGACAGAGGAUUGAAAAUUAUGUGGAGGAUGUGGUGCCACAAUAUGACAGGGAAUUUGUAGAGCAUUUUCGGGUGCGGCGUCACGUGGCAGAUGACCUUUGCGAAAGGUUUAGGAAUUCCAGAUUCUACAAUUAUCAGGCAGGGGGAAAUGGGAAACUGCUCCCACUGCAGCAUAUAUUGAUCUUUUUGUGGUUCACGGGCCACGAAGCUGCAGGUUUCAGGGAUGUAGCAGAUUUAACAUUUGUAUUUCUUCUCUGCGAUGCGUUAUUCAGAGAGUUACAAACUUUAUUAGUGGUUUGGGAAGAGAGGUUAUAAAGUGGCCGUCCGCCGAAGAAAGAGCAGAGAUUGAGGCUCAUUGCCUGGUGCGAUUGGGGCAAUCGACGAUUCCCACAUUAGGAUUGAUAGACCUCAGAAAGAUCCCCAGUCCUAUAUGAAUACGAAGAAUUAUUUUUCUAUUCAGCUUCAAGUAGUUUGUGAUCAAAAUCGACGGAUUAGGGACUUAUUCGUCGGCUAUCCGGGCUCUGUACACGACGGGAGGGUUUUCAGGACGUCCACACUCUACCACACACUCGAAGAAAAGUUUGGAGAUUUUCAUAUUCUGGGUGACAGUGCCUAUCCCUGCACCAGAAAUUUAUUAACACCCUUUAGAAAUACAGGGAAUUUGUCCAGAGUGCAAUGUGAAUUCAAUAGGGCACAGUCAAAAAAAACAGGUGCGUUGUGGAACAUUGCUUUGGCAUGUUGAAGCAGCGUUUCAGACAGUUGUAUCAUCUGAAAUUGAGGAGUGCUAGAGAGAUGGCGCACUUCAUCCGGGCGUGCUGUGUGCUACACAAUCUCGCCGUGGAAGAUAACUUGGAGUUAGAAGAUAACGAAGGUGAAGAAGACGAUGCACCGGCUGAAGAACGAGUAGUCGGCUUCUACAACAGGGAUGACAGAAGUGGCAUUGCAAAGAGAAAUAUGAUUGCAGCACAGUUGCAAAUGUAAAAGCAGCACCAGAUGCCCCAUCACCAACAUAUUACAACAAA
Schistocerca serialis cubense is the source of this 1195-nucleotide long non-coding RNA. RefSeq lists it as uncharacterized. The transcript has 3 exons. The record is from RefSeq and is a predicted model, not a curated record. Lineage: Eukaryota; Metazoa; Arthropoda; Insecta; Orthoptera; Acrididae.